AGCUGGCGGGUGUGGGGCACGUCGUGGUCAUCUACGACUCUGCCGCGGGGUCGCCGGAGCCGUCCACCAACAACGUGCUCGACGGGCUCACCUCCUUCUUCAACAACAUUUUCUCUCCGGCGAAGCCGUCGCUGACCGUGGGACAGUUCCUGGAGAAGGUGGCGAAGGAGACGGAGGUCAGCUACACGCUCGUCAAGGCGAGCCUGGCCGACGACUACACGGCGGAGCAGGUCGAGCCCCGCGGUCUGGUGGUGGCGGGGGAAGGGGCCGGUGCCGCUGCCGGGGCGGGCACCGCCGGCGACUACAAAGUACGGAACGAAAGUAAUGAGGGGGAAUUCAUUCCGGGAGGUCUUCCGCGUUUACCUUGCACAGUGAGGAGGAAUUCAUUCCUCCCGUUUCCAGGCGUUUCUGACGCGGGUCUGUCUUCCUCCUCGGCAGGUCCUCAAGUCGCAG
RNAcentral lists this long non-coding RNA (453 nucleotides) under Spirodela polyrhiza (greater duckweed). RNAcentral describes it as "long non-coding RNA (SPOL_LNC001776)". The record is from RNAcentral. Lineage: Eukaryota; Viridiplantae; Streptophyta; Magnoliopsida; Alismatales; Araceae.